GUCUAUGGCCAUACCACCCUGAACAUGCCAGAUCUGAUCUGAUCUUGGAAGCUAAGUAGGGUUGGUCCUUGUUAGUGCUUUCAUGGGAGAAAUUUGAAAAUGAGGUAUGUGUGUGUG
RNAcentral lists this ribosomal RNA (117 nucleotides) under Jaculus jaculus (lesser Egyptian jerboa). Lineage: Eukaryota; Metazoa; Chordata; Mammalia; Rodentia; Dipodidae. The record is from RNAcentral.